RNAcentral lists this ribosomal RNA (253 nucleotides) under uncultured bacterium. RNAcentral's name for it is "partial 16S ribosomal RNA". It matches the Rfam family "Bacterial small subunit ribosomal RNA", at positions 524 to 776 of the family's 1533-position model. The record is from RNAcentral.
CACGUAGGUGGCAAGCGUUACUCGGAAUUACUAGGCGUAAAGGGCAGGUAGGUGGUUUGAUAAGUCUGUUGUGAAAGCUCCCGGCUUAACUGGGAGAGGUCAACAGAAACUAUCAGGCUUGAGUAUGGGAGAGGGUACUGGAAUUCCCGGUGUAGCGGUGAAAUGCGCAGAGAUCGGGAGGAACACCUAUGGCGAAAGCAGGUACCUGGACCAUUACUGACACUCAGCUGCGAAAGCUAGGGGAGCAAACAGG